Molecule: ribosomal RNA, 429 nt
Filed under: uncultured Desulfobacterium sp.
Lineage: Bacteria; Pseudomonadati; Thermodesulfobacteriota; Desulfobacteria; Desulfobacterales; Desulfobacteriaceae
Description: bacterial SSU rRNA
Rfam family: Bacterial small subunit ribosomal RNA
Source: RNAcentral
UGAGGAAUUUUGCGCAAUGGGGGCAACCCUGACGCAGCAACGCCGCGUGAGCGAAGAAGGCCUUCGGGUCGUAAAGCUCUGUCUAGUGGGAAAAAAGUCUUCCGGUAAAUAGCCGGAAGAUCUGAUGGUACCGCUGGAGGAAGCACCGGCUAACUCCGUGCCAGCAGCCGCGGUAAUACGGAGGGUGCAAGCGUUGUUCGGAAUUAUUGGGCGUAAAGGGCGUGUAGGCGGUUUGGUAAGUCAGAUGUGAAAGCCCUGGGCUUAACUCAGGAAGUGCAUUUGAAACUGCCAUCCUUGAGUAUGGGAGAGGAGAGUGGAAUUCCCAGUGUAGAGGUGAAAUUCGUAGAUAUUGGGAGGAACACCCGUGGCGAAGGCGACUCUCUGGACCAAUACUGACGCUGAGACGCGAAAGCGUGGGGAGCAAACAGG